GGAAGUAAAAGCGUAACAAGGUUUCCGUAGGUGAACCUGCGGAAGGAUCAUUAAAGUUAUAGUCCCCCGGCCCUCUGGGCUGGGGUCUUCUAUACCACCCUUUGUUUAUUACACCUUUGUUGCUUUGGCAGGCCUGCCCUCGGGCUGCAGGCUCCGGCCGGCUCGCGUCUGCCAGAGGACCUAAACUCUGUUUGUAUAUGAAGUCUGAGUACUAUAUAAUAGUUAAAACUUUCAACAACGGAUCUCUUGGUUCUG
Molecule: unclassified non-coding RNA, 255 nt
Filed under: plant metagenome
Description: partial contains small subunit ribosomal RNA, internal transcribed spacer 1, and 5.8S ribosomal RNA
Rfam family: Eukaryotic small subunit ribosomal RNA (bases 1-53)
Source: RNAcentral